UACAGAGGGUGCUAGCGUUGUUCGGAAUCACUGGGCGUAAAGGGCGCGUAGGCGGCCGAUCAAGUCGGGGGGUGAAAGCCUGUGGCUCAACCACAGAAUUGCCUUCGAUACUGUUUGGCUUGAGACCGGAAGAGGUAAGUGGAACUGCGAGUGUAGAGGUGAAAUUCGUAGAUAUUCGCAAGAACACCAGUGGCGAAGGCGGCUUACUGGACACA
RNAcentral lists this ribosomal RNA (215 nucleotides) under uncultured bacterium. Its description in RNAcentral is "partial 16S ribosomal RNA". It matches the Rfam family "Bacterial small subunit ribosomal RNA", at positions 524 to 737 of the family's 1533-position model. The record is from RNAcentral.